RNAcentral lists this ribosomal RNA (1146 nucleotides) under uncultured cyanobacterium. RNAcentral describes it as "bacterial SSU rRNA". It matches the Rfam family "Bacterial small subunit ribosomal RNA", at positions 376 to 1533 of the family's 1533-position model. The record is from RNAcentral. Lineage: Bacteria; Bacillati; Cyanobacteriota.
CGAAAGCCUGACGGAGCAAUACCGCGUGAGGGAAGAAGGCUUUUGGGUUGUAAACCUCUUUUGUCAGGGAAGAAGAAUUGACGGUACCUGAAGAAAAAGCAUCGGCUAACUCCGUGCCAGCAGCCGCGGUAGUACGGAGGAUGCAAGCGUUAUCCGGAAUCAUUGGGCGUAAAGGGUCCGCAGGUGGCGAAUAAAGUCUGCUGUUAAAGACCGGGGCUUAACUCCGGAAAGGCAGUGGAAACUGAUUAGCUAGAGUACGGUAGGGGUAGAGGGAAUUCCCAGUGUAGCGGUGAAAUGCGUAGAUAUUGGGAAGAACACCGGUGGCGAAAGCGCUCUACUAGGCCGAAACUGACACUGAGGGACGAAAGCUAGGGUAGCGAAAGGGAUUAGAUACCCCUGUAGUCUUAGCGGUAAACGAUGGAUACUAGGUGUAGCUUGUAUCGACCCGAGCUGUGCCGAAGCUAACGCGAUAAGUAUCCCGCCUGGGGAGUACGCACGCAAGUGUGAAACUCAAAGGAAUUGACGGGGGCCCGCACAAGCGGUGGAGUAUGUGGUUUAAUUCGAUGCAACGCGAAGAACCUUACCAGGGCUUGACAUGUCGCGAAUCUAGCGGAAACGUUAGAGUGCCUUAGGGAAUGCGAACACAGGUGGUGCAUGGCUGUCGUCAGCUCGUGUCGUGAGAUGUUGGGUUAAGUCCCGCAACGAGCGCAACCCUCGUCCUUAGUUGCCAAUAUUAAGUUAGGCACUCUAGGGAGACUGCCGGGGACAACUCGGAGGAAGGUGGGGAUGACGUCAAGUCAGCAUGCCCCUUACGUCCUGGGCUACACACGUACUACAAUGGUUGGGACAAAGGGCAGCAAGCUCGCGAGGGUAAGCGAAUCUCAUCAAACCCAGCCACAGUUCAGAUUGCAGGCUGCAACUCGCCUGCAUGAAGUAGGAAUCGCUAGUAAUCGCAGGUCAGCAUACUGCGGUGAAUUCGUUCCCGGGCCUUGUACACACCGCCCGUCACACCAUGGAAGCUGGCUACGCCCGAAGUCGUUACCCUAACCCGGUUUUGGGAGGGGGAUGCCGAAGGUAGAGCUAGUGACUGGGGUGAAGUCGUAACAAGGUAGCCGUACCGGAAGGUGUGGCUGGAUCACCUCCUUU